RNAcentral lists this ribosomal RNA (661 nucleotides) under uncultured bacterium. Its description in RNAcentral is "bacterial SSU rRNA". It matches the Rfam family "Bacterial small subunit ribosomal RNA", at positions 370 to 1027 of the family's 1533-position model. The record is from RNAcentral.
GACAGGGGGCACCUGAUCAUGUCAAUGCCGCGUGAGUGAAGAAGGCCUUCGGGUUGUAAGCUCUUUUGUCAGGGAAGAAACACCGGCUCUAACACAGUCCGGGAAUGACGGUACCUGAAGAAUAAGCACCGGCUAACUACGUGCCAGCAGCCGCGGUAAUACGUAGGGUGCGAGCGUUAAUCGGAAUUACUGGGCGUAAAGCGUGCGCAGGCGGUUAUACAAGACAGGCGUGAAAUCCCCGGGCUUAACCUGGGAAUGGCGCCUGUGACUGUAUAGCUAGAGUGUGUCAGAGGGGGGUAGAAUUCCACGUGUAGCAGUGAAAUGCGUAGAUAUGUGGAGGAAUACCAAUGGCGAAGGCAGCCCCCUGGGAUAACACUGACGCUCAUGCACGAAAGCGUGGGGAGCAAACAGGAUUAGAUACCCUGGUAGUCCACGCCCUAAACGAUGCUGACUAGUUGUUCGGGAUUUACAUCCUGAGUAACGUAGCUAACGCGUGAAGUCAGCCGCCUGGGGAGUACGGUCGCAAGAUUAAAACUCAAAGGAAUUGACGGGGACCCGCACAAGCGGUGGAUGAUGUGGAUUAAUUCGAUGCAACGCGAAAAACCUUUACUACCCUUGACUUGUCACUACGAAGUAGAGAUACUUAGGUGCUCGUAAGAAA